RNAcentral lists this ribosomal RNA (598 nucleotides) under Phyllachora graminis. RNAcentral describes it as "eukaryotic LSU rRNA". It matches the Rfam family "Eukaryotic large subunit ribosomal RNA", at positions 37 to 657 of the family's 3401-position model. Lineage: Eukaryota; Fungi; Ascomycota; Sordariomycetes; Phyllachorales; Phyllachoraceae. The record is from RNAcentral.
UGCAUAUCCAAUAAGCGGAGGAAAAGAAACCAACGGGGAUUGCCCCAGUAACGGCGAGUGAAGCGGCAACAGCUCAAAUUUGAAAUCUGCCCCGCUCGGGGCCGAGUUGUAAUUUGCAGAGGAAGCUUUCGGCGCGGUGCCUACCGAGUCCCCUGGAACGGGGCGCCAGAGAGGGUAAGAGCCCCGUAUAGUGGGAUGCCAAGCCAGUGUAAAGCUCCUUCGACGAGUCGAGUAGUUUGGGAAUGCUACUCUAAACGGGAGGUAAAUUCCUUCUAAAGCUAAAUACCUGCCAGAGACCGAUAGCGCACAAGUAGAGUGAUCGAAAGAUGAAAAGCACUUUGGAAAGAGAGUCAAACAGCACGUGAAAUUGUUGAAAGGGAAGCGCCUGUGACCAGACUUGCGCUGGGUCGAUCUCCCGCCGUUCUCGGCGGUGCACUCGGCCCGGCUCAGGCCAGCAUCGGUUUCCACAGGGGGAUAAAAGCACCGGGAAUGUAACUCCCUCGGGAGUGUUAUAGCCCGGGGCAUAAUACCUCUGCGGGGACCGAGGACCGCGCCCUGCGAGGAUGCUGGCGUAAUGAUCACCAGCGACCCGUCUUGA